RNAcentral lists this long non-coding RNA (509 nucleotides) under Carica papaya (papaya). RNAcentral describes it as "long non-coding RNA (CPAP_LNC015527)". The record is from RNAcentral. Lineage: Eukaryota; Viridiplantae; Streptophyta; Magnoliopsida; Brassicales; Caricaceae.
CCCAACUCGUUUUUCCACGCUGAUUUCCCCAGUGGCCAAAUCGGAGCCAAAAUCCCGGCCAAACGACCGAAAGCCAGCGGCGCUGCCGCGCCCCUUCUCAGUUUUUGCCUCCGAUGAGGCCCUUCCCGGCCUCCGUUUAAUGCAAUUUUUAUAUCACCGUGAUCACCAUUCUUUUCUCUACAGGUUAAUCGGAGCCGAAUCACCAAAACACGAACUUCACCGGAGAACCGCCGCACCCGAGAGCACCGCCGCCGGUAAGCUUCGGUUUUCUGUAAAUUUUCGGCCCCCUGAGGGCCGUAGGGUUGUUUUAUCGCAGGACCAAUGCGAGUGUGGCUGAAUUCGGCCGAAAACGGCCAACCCGAGGCAAACCACUGCCGUAAGCGGCGGCGCCGUCGCCGGAGCACGGCGGAGCCGCCGUGCCGGAGUUGCGAUAUUGGCCGAAAGGGGCCCUGGGCCUAAUUUGGGAUUUUUUUGGAACACGUGCAGGUACCAGUAGUGCGUUUCAGUUC